This 1648-nucleotide long non-coding RNA is filed under the name Ornithorhynchus anatinus (platypus). RNAcentral's name for it is "lncRNA (ENSOANG00000036643.1)". The record is from RNAcentral. Lineage: Eukaryota; Metazoa; Chordata; Mammalia; Monotremata; Ornithorhynchidae.
AGGGGCUCACUCAUCCAUCGCAUUUCUGGAGCGCUUACUGUACGCAAAGCAUCGCACUAAGCGCUCGGGAGAAUACAGUCUCGGGAGACUCGGGAGAGAGAGUCAGGGAAGCAGCGUGGCUCAGUGGAAAGACCCGGGCUUCGGAGUCAGAGGUCACGGGUUCGACUCCCAGCCCUGCCACCCGUCAGCUGUGUGACUGUGGGCGAGUCACUUCACUUCUCUGUGCCUCAGUUACCUCGUCUGUAAAAUGGGGAUUAACUGUGAGCCUCACGUGGGACAACCUGAUUACCCCGUAUCUACCCCGGCGCUCAGAACGGUGCUCGGCACGUAGAUGUAGAUACCAACAUCAUUAUUAUUAUUAUUACACCGACGCGUUCCUAUCCACCAGGCGCGCACAGUCCAGAGAUGUCCACAUCUGUAAUGUAUUUAUUUAUAUCAGCUCACGUCUGCCCCUCGACGCCGUAAGCUCUCUGGGGGCAGGGAAUGUGCUCGUCGCGUUGCAGUCCGCCAAGCGCUUAGCACAGUGCUCUGCAUUCAAGUAGGCAUUCAAUAAGUACGACUGAGUGAGUGACCCACCCGGGCCGGGGUCUAGCGGACAAUAAGUGUGCUAUGUCAUCGUCGCCUCGCGGGAGGGACGCACCGUUCAUUCCGUCAUUCGGUCCUAUUUACUCCUAUUUACCGAGCGCUUCCUGUGCGCAGGGCCCUGUGCUAAGCGCUUGGAGAGUGCAAGGUGGCACUGGACAGAGACAACCGCUGGCCCCAAGGAGCGGAGAGUCUGGGGGGCAGUGGGGAGCGGGGAGGGACAGGCAUCAACAGGAGUAAAGAGGCGCUGUGAGAAAUAAAUGAAGUGAGAGCUGUGGGGCGGGGGGAGCGGGGCUUAGCCGGGGAAGGCCUCCAGCACGAGGAGGAGGAGGAGAAGAAGGAGGAGGAGCAGGAGGAGGAGGAGGAGGAGAGGAGGAGAAAGAGGAGAAGGAGGAGGGGGAAGAGGAGAAGGAGGAGGGGGAAGAGGAGGAGGAAGAGGAGAGGAGGAGAAACAGGAGGAGGAGGGGGAAGAGGAGGAGGAAGAGGAGAAGAGCAGAAAAAGGAGGAGGAGGGGGAAGAGGAGGAGGAAGAGGAGAAGAGCAGAAAAAGGAGGAGGAGGGGGAAGAGGAGGAGGAAGGGGGGGAAAGAGGAGAAGAGGAGGAAGAGGAGGGGGAAGAGGAGGAGGAGGAAGAGAAGAGAGGGAGGAAGAGGAGAAGAGCAGAAAAAGGAGGAGGAGGGGGAAGAGGAGAGGGGGAGGAAGAAGAGGAGAAGGGGAGAAGAAGGGGGAGGAGGAGGAGAAGAGGUGGAGAAGAGGAGGAGGGUGGUGCCGGGGGUGCGGGGCUCGGCCCCAUCCAUCCCCUCCCGCCCCGUUGGGCGCCCCCCGGCCUCUCCUCUCCUCCGCCCCCGCCUCGUCCUCCGCCUCCUUAGGCCCGCGGCCCGACCAUCCUCCUCCUCCUCCUCCUCCCGCCCGUCAUCGGCCCAUCGUGGGCCCGCCCGGUCCUCUCUCUCUCUCUCUCCCUCCCUCCCUGUGUCCGUCCGUCCGUCCGUCCGUGGAGCGGGUGUUGGCCGGGGUCCCGGGGGUCAGAGGUCACCUCUUGAGAAAUCACAUUUCAUGAAGAGCAAAUGA